CUUUCUUUGCUGGCGACCGGCGCACGGGUGAGUAACACGUAUCCAACCUGCCCUUUACUCGGGGAUAGCCUUUCGAAAGAAAGAUUAAUACCCGAUAGUAUAAUGAUUCCGCAUGGUUUCAUUAUUAAAGGAUUCCGGUAAAGGAUGGGGAUGCGUUCCAUUAGGUUGUUGGUGAGGUAACGGCUCACCAAGCCUUCGAUGGAUAGGGGUUCUGAGAGGAAGGUCCCCCACACUGGGACUGAGACACGGUCCAA
Molecule: ribosomal RNA, 254 nt
Filed under: uncultured bacterium
Lineage: Bacteria
Description: partial 16S ribosomal RNA
Rfam family: Bacterial small subunit ribosomal RNA
Source: RNAcentral